Molecule: non-coding RNA, 24 nt
Filed under: Arabidopsis thaliana (thale cress)
Lineage: Eukaryota; Viridiplantae; Streptophyta; Magnoliopsida; Brassicales; Brassicaceae
Source: RNAcentral
AGACGAGCUCGUGUAAAGUUGGGA